UACGGAGGGAGCUAGCGUUAUUCGGAAUUACUGGGCGUAAAGCGCACGUAGGCGGCUUUGUAAGUUAGAGGUGAAAGCCUGGAGCUCAACUCCAGAAUUGCCUUUAAGACUGCAUCGCUUGAAUCCAGGAGAGGUGAGUGGAAUUCCGAGUGUAGAGGUGAAAUUCGUAGAUAUUCGGAAGAACACCAGUGGCGAAGGCGGCUCACUGGACGAUGACUGACGCUGAGACGCGAAAGCGUGGGGAGCAAACAGG
Molecule: ribosomal RNA, 253 nt
Filed under: uncultured bacterium
Lineage: Bacteria
Description: partial 16S ribosomal RNA
Rfam family: Bacterial small subunit ribosomal RNA
Source: RNAcentral